RNAcentral lists this ribosomal RNA (253 nucleotides) under uncultured bacterium. RNAcentral's name for it is "partial 16S ribosomal RNA". It matches the Rfam family "Bacterial small subunit ribosomal RNA", at positions 524 to 776 of the family's 1533-position model. The record is from RNAcentral.
UACGGGGGGUGCGAGCGUUGUCCGGAAUCACUGGGCGUAAAGGGCGCGUAGGUGGCUUCUUAAGCGUGCGGUGAAAGCCCGGGGCUCAACCCCGGGUCGGCCGUGCGAACUGUCGAGCUGGAGCACUGUAGAGGCAGGUGGAAUUCCGGGUGUAGCGGUGGAAUGCGUAGAGAUCCGGAAGAACACCGGUGGCGAAGGCGGCCUGCUGGGCAGUGGCUGACGCUGAGGCGCGACAGCGUGGGGAGCAAACAGG